CUCUCCCAUUGUUUGCCCGUGUUAGAGUUGAAAGUCGUGCAUCGCACUCUUACUUAGAGAGUUAGGCCAUCAACUCAAAGAGAGAGGAGAGAGUUGGGUUGGGUUUCUUCUUUCUUUCUCUUUCUUUCUAUUAAGUGGUGUGCCCCCGUGUGCGUGUGCGCGAGUUUAAGCGUCCACCACCACCACCAUCCAUGGCGUCGAGGGUGGUGCGCUAGUCCCCUCGCUCGUUUCGUCUAGCAAAAGGUGGCAAGCAAAGAUUUGGAGGCUUAUGGGGCCGCCGCUCUCGCCGAUUCCAGCGAUUGGGGAACUGGGCUGUGCUCGCCGCCGCGCCUCGCAAGGUUUAGCGCCGACCCAUUUGCUCGGCCGCCUCCAUUGGAUCCCAGGGAAUGCUCCAAAACGCUACACGGGUAAGUCUCUCUUCUUUCUUGCUGCCUGCGCUUGGGCUUUCUUUCUCUGCGUCUAUCUGGGGGAGAGGUUUUUUUUUUUCCUUCGUGUUCUUGGUUGGAGGAGAAAGAGGUUGAAACAAUGGCGCAAAGUUAUUCAUUUUUUGUUGUCGUGAUAUGCUCGAAUGAUCACGAUUUAUGAAAAUGUUUAAAGAGCUGCCGGAUUGAGCGACAAUCGUCUUGAGCAGCGAAGACGAAUUCCAGAAAUUCGCCUUGACGGGAAAGCAAAAAGGUUCUUUGGUUUUGUUUUGUUUUUUUUCUUUUUCUUUUUCUACCAGGAGCCGCCAGAAAGUGGCGCAGUCUUAUCGGCGGCUUCCAAAGGCCGCGGCGAGGGAGCGCAAAGACUGCGAUCGCGGAUGGAGAGCAUGUUCAUGAGCUUUGCCUGCUAAGGUCACAAAUUCUAAAGUGGAACAAGGAGACCACGGCCGCAGCAGCGUGAGAUCUUCGGCGCGGAGGUCUCGAAUCCGACCUACGAAUAUGGCCCAGGAAUGGUGCAGCGUACCAGCGGAUCACGAGGCAUUGAUUGAUUUGAAGAGUAGACUUUCAUCCCCAUCAUGAAUAUGUCUACCGUACUGUUGAGUAGCAAUCCUCUGGGAGGCAAAAUCUUCUAUGUACAUAGAAUCUCAAAAUCUUAUAUGUACAUAAUGUGUAUAAUUCUUGAAUAAUAGACAGACUUCGCCAA
Selaginella moellendorffii is the source of this 1125-nucleotide long non-coding RNA. RefSeq lists it as uncharacterized. Lineage: Eukaryota; Viridiplantae; Streptophyta; Lycopodiopsida; Selaginellales; Selaginellaceae. The record is from RefSeq and is a predicted model, not a curated record. The transcript is spliced from 3 exons.